RNAcentral lists this ribosomal RNA (473 nucleotides) under uncultured Microbacteriaceae bacterium. RNAcentral's name for it is "bacterial SSU rRNA". It matches the Rfam family "Bacterial small subunit ribosomal RNA", at positions 91 to 578 of the family's 1533-position model. The record is from RNAcentral. Lineage: Bacteria; Bacillati; Actinomycetota; Actinomycetes; Micrococcales; Microbacteriaceae.
AUUAGUGGCGAACGGGUGAGUAACACGUGAGUAACCUGCCCCAGACUCUGGGAUAAGCACUGGAAACGGUGUCUAAUACCGGAUAUGAACUUCCGCCGCAUGGUGAGGAGUUGGAAAGAAUUUUGGUCUGGGAUGGACUCGCGGCCUAUCAGCUAGUUGGUGAGGUAAUGGCUCACCAAGGCGACGACGGGUAGCCGGCCUGAGAGGGUGACCGGCCACACUGGGACUGAGACACGGCCCAGACUCCUACGGGAGGCAGCAGUGGGGAAUAUUGCACAAUGGGCGAAAGCCUGAUGCAGCAACGCCGCGUGAGGGACGAAGGCCUUCGGGUUGUAAACCUCUUUUAGUAGGGAAGAAGCGAAAGUGACGGUACCUGCAGAAAAAGCACCGGCUAACUACGUGCCAGCAGCCGCGGUAAUACGUAGGGUGCAAGCGUUGUCCGGAAUUAUUGGGCGUAAAGAGCUCGUAGGCGG